This 253-nucleotide ribosomal RNA is filed under the name uncultured bacterium. Its description in RNAcentral is "partial 16S ribosomal RNA". It matches the Rfam family "Bacterial small subunit ribosomal RNA", at positions 524 to 776 of the family's 1533-position model. The record is from RNAcentral.
GACAGAGGGGGCAAGCGUUGCUCGGAAUUACUGGGCGUAAAGGGCGCGUAGGCGGCCUCCUAAGUCAGACGUGAAAUCCCUCGGCUCAACCGGGGAACUGCGUCUGAUACUGGGAGGCUUGAAUCCGGGAGAGGGAUGUGGAAUUCCAGGUGUAGCGGUGAAAUGCGUAGAUAUUGGGAGGAACACCAGUGGCGAAGGCGGCUCACUGGACCGGAACUGACGCUGAGGCGCGAAAGCGUGGGGAGCAAACGGG